Chenopodium quinoa (quinoa) is the source of this 2794-nucleotide long non-coding RNA. RefSeq lists it as uncharacterized. Lineage: Eukaryota; Viridiplantae; Streptophyta; Magnoliopsida; Caryophyllales; Amaranthaceae. The record is from RefSeq and is a predicted model, not a curated record. The transcript is spliced from 2 exons.
GAGCUGAACUGAACUGAAUGAACUGAAUUUCAACGGAAGAAAAUAGACCCUUACUCACGUGACUCAGCAAUGCCAAAAAAAAAAAAGGGGGGGGGGGAUUUAAACGCGUGAAGAAAGAAGCGAAUAGCCAAACUCAUCACAAGUCACAACCCACCUAACUCCCUCUCUCACAUCAACCAGCCGACCAAACACCCCCAAAUCAAAUUUCCCACUCUCACUUCUGUUCUUCUCUUGCAAAUUUCAUCAAUUUCUUCUCAUUGUACUUAGCUUUCACAUGGUGACUCACAGGAGCAUACAAAUACAAAUAAUUUGUGGGAAUUGGAAAAUAAAAGGAAAGAAAAAAAAUGGAAGGAAAGACAAUGAAGAAACUUAUUUUGGUGCAAAUCGCGUCGAGGCAGAAGUCUGAUUAUUACAUUGUAGAUUUGGAAGCAAAGAAAAUAGAGAGAGCUCCUUUUGAAAUCCUGAUAAAUCCUUUAGCAACCAUGAUAAAUGAAGAUGGAGAAGGUAGCACACUGUCCUCUAUACCGUGGGCGGUAAAAUAUCAACAGAUUAUUUUUGUCAUAAGACAACACAUGUAGACCACUUGGGCGCUUCUUGUUUAGAAUUGAACAUACCUCAUCUACUCUCAUUGAUGAAAGGAGAAGAGCUACAAGCUGAUGAGGAUUUUUUAAAAUUAGGGUCUAAUUAUAAUAAGUGGAAGCCUAUCCCUGCUAUGCAUUAUGGCCGCAAAUUUGCAAUGAGUGCUCCCCUGGGGGGUAGAAUAUAUGUAUUGGGAGGCGCAGUACCAUGUUCUUGUGUAGGCGAGGUGUUUAUUCCCCAAUAGCGCAAGUGGAAACCCUUGGCUCCACCACCCUCCAAUCUUCAUCUGGAGUGGAAGUGUGUGUCUUAUCCAGUGAUUCCUGAUGAAAAGAAUGAGCGGAUUCUUGUGCAUUUUCGUAAAGAUGAUUCCCUCUAUUCAUAUUAUCCUGCUACUCAAGAAUGGGAUUGCUUGGCCAAGAAUUUCAGGUGCUGGAAGAAACCCGCAGCUUUGGCUGAUGAUGUUCUUUACAUUCAACUUAGAGGGAAGUGUGAUUUCCUUGUUGCCUAUGAUUUGUUAACCAAAGUGUGGUUGGACGUUAAGUAUUCCUCUAACUUUACAGUUGAUAUUCGCAAUUUUAAAUUCUUGAACAUGCUUUAUCUGGGCAAUGGCGCCUUGUGCUUGGCCCACUGCGUCCCCUUUUAUGACGCUCCUUCGCGUCAAACUAAUCUCCAGUUCAUCAAAUUUAGAGUUGAGCGCCUCUCUCCAAGAGUGGUGCGUGUCAGUCCUGUUGCUGUGCACUGCUUUCCAUUUGAAGGUUACGUGAGAGCCUCACGCCCCAUCCUGCUCUAGGUAAUUCUACUUUAUCAACCAUAUUACUGCUACUUGCAUAACACUACUUAUAUAUUACACUUGCUAUAUAUAUAGUUGUGGAUCUGUGUCCUUUGGUUGCGGUUCCCCUAGUUGUUAACGAUGUAUAGUUCGAUCGUAAAAUGUGUUGUUUGGUGUGCUGUUAUGAGAAGUUUCUGAAUUAACAUCUUACCUGAUUUGAGAAUUCUAAUUCAGCCCAAUACCCUCUAUGAUGAAUUGAAUACAUUUGCUUUGAUUUGAACCUUAAAUUGAAUAUUGGAAUUAGAUGCCUAAAUUUUUAUUAUUGUUAAAUAGAAGUAUAAUUUGGACAUUUGGAUCUUUAAUGUGAUUGAGAAGCAUCAAAGAUUAUGUCGACCUCCCAAUUGUUGGCGGUGGUGAGAGGAAAGAUGACAGUGAAUCUGAAGGUUAGAAAGGAAGUUCCAAUUUCAAUUUUUCUAUUUUUGGAUUUAAAAGCCAAAAUACUUCCCAAACAACACAAUGAAUUUGGAACCACACAUUUAAAUUCUUAAGACUUUUCCAAACAAAUUAUUUGAAGUAGAAUAUUGGAAUUUCAAUUUUCAGAAUUGAAAUUAUGGAAUUGAAAAAAAAUCAAUCAUCCCAAGCACUGCCUUAGGUUUUUUGUGCAUUUUGUUUUGUCAAGUGGUGUUCAUUAGACAAUUCUAGAUUAAGCUAAUACACUAAAGUGUGGUUGCAUAGUAUGGAAUGUGGACUGAAUAACAUUUUUCAAGUCAGUCUGUUUGUUUAAUAUUGGUACUUGUUGAAAUUAUCGAGUAGUGAUAUUGUGUGAUUUUUUGUUUCCCUUUACUUUAGGAGGACGACAUUCUCAAAUUAGCAAAUGAGUUUGGAUUAAACAUAUUUAAAGAAACUUCAUUACAUGCUAUAAUCUUAAAUAUAUUACAGUGGGUGAGAAACAAUUUCAAAAGAUUCAACAUUUGUUGGAUAUUGAUUGUUUUUUUUAAAAAAAUAACUGGAAAGGCACACGGCUCUAUAAGUCUCCCUAUCAUAGAGAUAGAUCAUUAGAGAAGCUAAUUGUCCCCCCAGCUCAUGGUAGUUAUGCUUACUUGUCAUCAAAUUCUUUUAGUUAAAGUAAAAAUGUUUUUCUUUGCAGGGAUCUCUGUUGAUGGAUAAAGUCGUUGAAGAUUUAUCAUAAGGCUUAUUUUCUGUUUAUUCAUAUUUCUGUUUUGUGUUCUGUUGCAGUUAUGCAUUGCAAUUACAUUGCAACACAUCCAUGGCUGCAGAGGUUUUUUUUUUUUCCUUUAAUUCGGUUGUUCCGAUUAUCUUUUUAUUCCGUUUCAUUUUUUUUAUUUAUAGUUUCCGUUUCAACUUUUCAAUGACUUGUUUAAUGUAUUACUGAGUAAUUUAUGUGUAUCUUAAACCUGUCAACUUUAAAUAUGAUUUUUUAUUUUA